Molecule: ribosomal RNA, 492 nt
Filed under: uncultured bacterium
Lineage: Bacteria
Description: partial 16S ribosomal RNA
Rfam family: Bacterial small subunit ribosomal RNA
Source: RNAcentral
AGUGAACGCUGGCGGUAGGCCUAACACAUGCAAGUCGAACGGCAGCACAGUAAGAGCUUGCUCUUACGGGUGGCGAGUGGCGGACGGGUGAGGAAUACAUCGGAAUCUACUUUUUCGUGGGGGAUAACGUAGGGAAACUUACGCUAAUACCGCAUACGACCUACGGGUGAAAGCAGGGGAUCUUCGGACCUUGCGCGAUUGAAUUAGCCGAUGUCGGAUUAGCUAGUUGGCUGGGUAAAGGCCCACCAAGCCGACGAUCCGUAGCUGGUCUGAGAGGAUGAUCAGCCACACUGGAACUGAGACACGGUCCAGACUCCUACGGGAGGCAGCAGUGGGGAAUAUUGGACAAUGGGCGCAAGCCUGAUCCAGCCAUACCGCGUGGGUGAAGAAGGCCUUCGGGUUGUAAAGCCCUGUUGUUGGGAAAGAAAAGCAGCAGGUUAAUACCCCGCUGUUCUGACGGUACCCAAAGAAUAAGCACCGGCUAACUUCGUG